This 467-nucleotide ribosomal RNA is filed under the name uncultured bacterium. Its description in RNAcentral is "partial 16S ribosomal RNA". It matches the Rfam family "Bacterial small subunit ribosomal RNA", at positions 28 to 507 of the family's 1533-position model. The record is from RNAcentral.
GACGAACGCUGGCGGCGUGCUUAACACAUGCAAGUCGAACGAUGACGACCGAGCUUGCUCGGUCUGAUUAGUGGCGAACGGGUGAGUAACACGUGAGCAACCUGCCCUUCACUCUGGGAUAACCUCGGGAAAUCGGGGCUAAUACCGGAUAUGAGCUCCUGUCGCAUGGCGGGUGUUGGAAAGUUUUUCGGUGAAGGAUGGGCUCGCGGCCUAUCAGUUUGUUGGUGAGGUAGUGGCUCACCAAGGCGAUGACGGGUAGCCGGCCUGAGAGGGCGACCGGCCACACUGGGACUGAGACACGGCACAGACUCCUACGGGAGGCAGCAGUGGGGAAUAUUGCACAAUGGGCGAAAGCCUGAUGCAGCGACGCCGCGUGAGGGAUGACGGCCUUCGGGUUGCAAACCUCUUUCAGCAGGGAAGAAGCGAAAGUGACGGUACCUGCAGAAGAAGCGCCGGCUAACUACGUG